RNAcentral lists this ribosomal RNA (652 nucleotides) under fungal endophyte. RNAcentral describes it as "eukaryotic LSU rRNA". The stretch from base 191 to 344 matches the Rfam family "5.8S ribosomal RNA". Lineage: Eukaryota; Fungi. The record is from RNAcentral.
CGGAGGGAUCAUUAAAGAGUUCUAUAACUCCCAAACCCAUGUGAACAUACCUAACGUUGCCUCGGCAGGUCGCACCUACCUUGUAGCACCCUACCCUGUAGGGCCUACCCGGGAGGUGCGGGUAAGCCUGCCGGCGGCCCACCAAACUCUGUUUGAUAUUGAAUUCUGAACCUAUAACUAAAUAAGUUAAAACUUUCAACAACGGAUCUCUUGGUUCUGGCAUCGAUGAAGAACGCAGCGAAAUGCGAUAAGUAAUGUGAAUUGCAGAAUUCAGUGAAUCAUCGAAUCUUUGAACGCAUAUUGCGCCCAUUAGUAUUCUAGUGGGCAGGACCGUUCGAGCGUCAUUUCAACCCUUAAGCCUUCGUUGCUUAGUGUUGGGAGCCUACGGCAACGUAGCUCCUCAAAGUUAGUGGCGGAGUUGGUUCACACUCUAGACGUAGUAAUUUUUUAUCUCGCCUAUUAGUUGGACUAAUCCCCUGCCGUAAAACCCCUAAUUUAUCAAGGUUGACCUCGAAUCGGUUCAGACAAACUCGCUAAAUUGAAGCAUCUUAGUCAGCGAAGGAAAAGAAACCAACAGGGAUUGCCCUAGUAACGGCGAGUGAAGCGGCAACAGCUCAAAUUUGAAAUCUGGCCCUCGGGUCCGAGUUGUAAU